AUGCAGGUGCAGCACCGCCGUCGCCUUGGAGAGACCCUGUCGGAGCUCGCCAUCUCGAUCGAAACCGGCGAGGAACGCCACCGCCAUGAACUUGGAGUUCAAGCCCCGCCGCUGGACCUCCUCCCGCGCCUCCUAGAUCGCCUCCACGCCGUACUUGCAACAGGAUCCGGCCGCCGCCGCGCCUCCUCGGCCGGAUCUGGCCGGAGAUCGCCGUCGCCGUGCCCGGCGUCGUCUGCAUCGCGGCCAGUCUCGACCUCCAGCUCGCUUCGCUCGCCAAUAACCACUUUGUUGAAUAUAAAAACACAGUGUCCUUUUUGUAAGAACGAAACGUUUUCUCACAAUAGCACUUCAGAUUGUACUGCGGGUUGA
Molecule: ribosomal RNA, 369 nt
Filed under: Triticum aestivum (bread wheat)
Lineage: Eukaryota; Viridiplantae; Streptophyta; Magnoliopsida; Poales; Poaceae
Description: partial small subunit ribosomal RNA
Source: RNAcentral